This 253-nucleotide ribosomal RNA is filed under the name uncultured bacterium. Its description in RNAcentral is "partial 16S ribosomal RNA". It matches the Rfam family "Bacterial small subunit ribosomal RNA", at positions 524 to 776 of the family's 1533-position model. The record is from RNAcentral.
UACGUAGGUGACAAGCGUUGUCCGGAUUUACUGGGCGUAAAGAGCGCGCAGGCGGUCGCUCAAGUCGAGUGUGAAAGCCCCCGGCUCAACUGGGGAGGGUCACGCGAUACUGAUCGACUCGAAGGCAGGAGAGGGAAGUGGAAUUUCCGGUGUAGCGGUGAAAUGCGUAGAGAUCAGGAAGAACACCGGUGGCGAAAGCGUUCUGCUAGACCUGUACUGACACUGAGGGACGAAAGCUAGGGGAGCGAAUGGG